CACACCGUAAACGAUGUGUGCUAGUUGUCAGGCAGCUUUGCUGUUUGGUGACGGAGCUAACGUUUUAAGCACACCGCCUGGGAAGUACGGCCGCAAGGUUAAAACUCAAAGGAAUUGACGGGGACCCGCACAAGCAGUGGAACAUGUCCUUUAAUUCGUAGCAACGCGAAGAACCUUACCUACCCUUGACAUACCAGUUGUGAUUUCCAGAGAUGGAUUUCUUCAUUUAGUUGGGCUGGAUACAGGUGC
RNAcentral lists this ribosomal RNA (249 nucleotides) under uncultured bacterium. RNAcentral's name for it is "partial 16S ribosomal RNA". It matches the Rfam family "Bacterial small subunit ribosomal RNA", at positions 796 to 1041 of the family's 1533-position model. The record is from RNAcentral.